Molecule: ribosomal RNA, 500 nt
Filed under: uncultured bacterium
Lineage: Bacteria
Description: bacterial SSU rRNA
Rfam family: Bacterial small subunit ribosomal RNA
Source: RNAcentral
UCAGGAUGAACGCUAGCGACAGGCCUAACACAUGCAAGUCAGGGGCAGCACAAGGAGCAAUCUGAGGUGGCGACCGGCGCACGGGUGAGUAACACGUAUGCAACCUGCCUGUAAGCGGGGAAUAACCCGUUGAAAGACGGACUAAUACCGCAUAAUACUAAAUUACUGCAUGGUAAUUUAUUUAAACAUUUAUGGCUUACAGAUGGGCAUGCGCAUGAUUAGCUAGUUGGAGAGGUAACGGCUCCCCAAGGCAACGAUCAUUAGGGGUUCUGAGAGGAAGGUCCCCCACACUGGUACUGAGACACGGACCAGACUCCUACGGGAGGCAGCAGUGAGGAAUAUUGGUCAAUGGACGAGAGUCUGAACCAGCCAAGUCGCGUGCAGGAAGAAUGUUCCCUAUGGAUUGUAAACUGCUUUUGCAGGGGAAUAAAGUGCAUCACGUGUGAUGUUUUGUAUGUACUCUGCGAAUAAGGAUCGGCUAACUCCGUGCCAGCCGCUGC